Molecule: transfer RNA, 62 nt
Filed under: Lampsilis cardium
Lineage: Eukaryota; Metazoa; Mollusca; Bivalvia; Unionida; Unionidae
Description: tRNA-Gly
Source: RNAcentral
AUGCUGGGAGUAUAAUUAGUACAACUGCCUUCCAAGCAGGAGGUCCAAAUUAGGUCAGCAUA